GCGGUGAUUAGAUUUAUUCAAGGCCUUCCAUGAGAACAUUAUAUUGACACGGUUUCUUGGAAAUCACAAAUACCAAGCUACACCAUAAUAACCUCUCUCCCAUACAGGUACACCCAUUUCAUGUUUAACAGCUCAUCAAGAGAGGUAGGCUUUUAAAGGUAUCUAUCCGUGUAGACAAAAAUACAAUAAAUAGACACUGCAGAGCCCGUAGCAAAGCCUGGUUUUGCAAAGGGAACCGGCAAAACAAUUGCAGCAAACGUUUACAGUAAAAAUUUAUCAUGAGGAAAACUUGUCAGUGUGGUUUAAACUUUUUAAGGCCUACCUGUUCUGACGGUGUCCCUUAAAGCACAGUGAGAGCACAGAGGCUUAUGAAACAGUUAAAGGUCAGAAACACCCUAGUCCCAGAUACACUUCCUCAAGAACAGCUCCUGCGUUUCAGUGCAACUUAGGGCCAACUAAGAAUGCGUACGAUUGCAGUGUUGUACUGCAGAGUGAAACAUAUUAUUUGAAAGUAAAUUCUAAUGAAAUUGAGAAAGUGAAGUCCUACUGAAAUCAACGUGCUUUGGGACUGGAUACCAGUAAUAUGUAUGUCUUCUGGUGGUAUAUUUUAACACCUGCCAACAGGGCAAUCUUAUCCAAGUCUGAUCAGUGGUCAGCCAAACUGAAUUCAAUUGGAAUUAUUCUCAGGGAAAUAUAUAUAGGAUUGCAGCCUUAGGAUGACAGAAUGUAUAAUGUAUAAUAGAAUGUAUAAUGAAUUUUCUCUCUUUGUCAGAGAGCUAACAGGUAUAUACUGCUAAGAAUCGAAGUUCACAGAAGAGCCAUAUACAUUAAUACGCUGCCUAAAAUGUUACUAUUGACAUUCUCUGUGUAAUUGCUUUUGUAGUUCUCUCAGAAAAAACAAAGAUUCACUGAAUGGACACUGGGAUUUCCUUAUUCUGAUUUAUUUUUAGCUGCAUCGUGCUGUAAAGCUAAAGGUCACGAAAAAGAAAUUGUCAAGAAGCAUAAAAUAUUUGUUUUAGGUAGUUUUAGACAGGCUGUGUAUUUUUGUGUGUGUGCUGAAACAACAAAUAAAGUCUCUAUCAAGGCAACCUAAAUUACGUGCUGAUGAAUGUUAAAUUUCCAUGGGUUAGGCUAGGCUAUGGUUGUGGUGUCCAGAAGGAAGGAAGGCUGGUCCCCAGGCUGUACCAUAAAACAGCUAAGUAGGAGAGGGAUUUGGGUAUGUGCAACUUGUGAUGCAGCCAUGUGAAAAAGACUGGCAAAAUUGCAUUUUACAUUAAACGAUUAAAUAACUGCAGCUUCUUUUUAUUUUCAUCUUGUGAGUCUUGGUGC
Molecule: long non-coding RNA, 1329 nt
Filed under: Podarcis lilfordi (Lilford's wall lizard)
Lineage: Eukaryota; Metazoa; Chordata; Lepidosauria; Squamata; Lacertidae
Source: RNAcentral